GAUGAACGCUGGCGGCGUGCUUAACACAUGCAAGUCGAACGGAAAGGCCCAAGCUUGCUUGGGUACUCGAGUGGCGAACGGGUGAGUAACACGUGGGUGAUCUGCCCUGCACUUCGGGAUAAGCCUGGGAAACUGGGUCUAAUACCGGAUAGGACGAUGUUUUGGAUGCCAUUGUGUAAAGUUUUUUCGGUGUGGGAUGAGCUCGCGGCCUAUCUGCUUGUUGGUGGGGUAAUGGCCUACCAAGGCGUCGACGGGUAGCCGGCCUGAGAGGGUGUACGGCCACAUUGGGACUGAGAUACGGCCCAGACUCCUACGGGAGGCAGCAGUGGGGAAUAUUGCACAAUGGGCGCAAGCCUGAUGCAGCGACGCCGCGUGGGGGAUGACGGCCUUCGGGUUGUAAACUCCUUUCGCUAGGGACGAAGCGUUUUUGUGACGGUACCUGGAGAAGAAGCACCGGCUAACUACGUG
Molecule: ribosomal RNA, 468 nt
Filed under: uncultured bacterium
Lineage: Bacteria
Description: partial 16S ribosomal RNA
Rfam family: Bacterial small subunit ribosomal RNA
Source: RNAcentral